This is a long non-coding RNA of Pomacea canaliculata, 1108 nucleotides long. RefSeq lists it as uncharacterized. NCBI's taxonomy places the organism in Eukaryota, Metazoa, Mollusca, Gastropoda, Architaenioglossa, Ampullariidae. The transcript has 7 exons. The record is from RefSeq and is a predicted model, not a curated record.
AUGACGAAAUACUGUGACGAAAGUUUUCAGAAUGCGUGUAUCAAUGACGUAAAAAUGAAGUAUAACGAUUACUGUACAUUGCUCUGCCAGCCGCCUAGCCAGAAAGAGGGAAGAUUGUACCAAUUGCACAUUGCAAAUUUCCAAGUCAAAAUAUGUUCGGCUGGAUUCGGAAAUCUCUGGUUCAAUCCGGUUUAAUUAGUCCAUUGGCCCAGCUUAUCUGGAGAAGUCACGCAGAACCAGAACCACGACCCACCGCAAGCGCUCCUGCCCAGCCACAGAUGAGGGUGCGUAGGCCACGGAGGCAAUAUACGGCCGACCAGCUACGCAUCCUGAACACCGAGUUCGAAAUUAAUAAGUAUCCUAGGCUGGCAAGGAGGAAAUAUCUCGAGCGCGCGACCGGACUGCCAGCAGCCACGGUCCGGGUGUGGUUCUGCAAUCGCAGAGGGAGAUGGUGGCGGCGGAGAAAAGCGAACUUCACCCGGUGGAGAAGGACAGCUUCCUCUCGGAGGAGACGGGCUCCGUCCUGCCGGAGGAGAAGGGUUACCUCCACCCGAAGAAAAGCCUCCACCGCCAGAGGAAAUUUUUCCCUGGAAGCUUCUAUUAAAAUAAGAGGGCAGCUUUAACAACCAAUUGCCGUACUGGAUGCCUUGGACCUGUCCUGUGACCGGUGACCCAUGACCCACGAUCUGAGCAGAAACUGUGUCUCCGUUUUUCGAGGCUGUUCCCCAGAGUACAUCCCGCUGGGUCCUCGUUGAAGAACCAUGUGGUCACCAUAGAGGCCGCCUUGCACGUGUCCAAUUACCAUGGCGACAACAUGGUCCUGCAACGGGGUCCCCAGCGAGCCAUCCUCAGUGGAACAGCGACUAAAGAGGGCGACAAAGUCACUGCCCAGAUCGUGGGUCAUGGGUCACCGGUCACAGGUUCACAGCGGCAAGUGGAAGGUGAAGCUGCCCGCUUCAGGGAAGGCGAGCCACAUGUACCUUUGCUGGUCGAGGUACUUAAAGGUGCUAAGACACACACCUGUAAACAACAGUUGCAGCCUUCCACUGUCAGUCCAAUAGGAGGUUCUUCUUCCACUGCUGAAAGAGAUUUUAACAGUCUUCAAAAG